Molecule: long non-coding RNA, 1124 nt
Filed under: Homo sapiens (human)
Lineage: Eukaryota; Metazoa; Chordata; Mammalia; Primates; Hominidae
Description: HSALNT0327731
Source: RNAcentral
GUCCGGGUCCCGACGCCUUACCUUUGCCGAACUGGGGGACACCGAGGCUGAGCCCGACCAAGAGCCAGACGGCUACCGAGCGCUUCAUGAUCCCGUCUCCCGGACGUGACCCCGGCUGGUCAGGGGUCGUCGCGGAGGGCAGUGUAGCCGAGGUGGCAGCGCAGGGCAGCAGCAGACUCCGCCCCUACUAAAGAAUUCAAGAAGACGUUCUCUUUCCUCAGCGCUUUGUUAAACAAAUUCUUGGAGAGGGCGAGAGUGGUGACUAAAGAGAGGAGCCUUUCCUCCCCUUUUGCCUGCGCUCCGGCGCGCGGAGGUGGGUGAGCUCCGGGGAGCCGCCGGCGGGCUCAGCCCUCCGCUGCGGGUGGGUCCCGGCAGAGGCGCGGCGGGCGGGGCGCGGGCUCCCGCGGCCGCCCCGGGUCUGCUGCGCGGGCAGGCAGACCCACCGGCAGACAGGCGGACCGGGCGCUCGGCUGUCGCUGUUCUCCGCGCGGCGGCUGCGGGGCUUCUGACUUGGAGAACAAUGAAGCGUGAGCUGGAGGGGAGCGAGCGGGCCGCCGGGAGCGCACUGUGUACAAACAGAGGCGGCGUGCAGCCUUUGGAAGGAAUUGGGCCAUGAGAAGAGCCCUCAUGAAUGGGAUUAGUUCCCUUAUAAGAAGAGACACCAAGGAAGUGAUCUUUCUCUGCCCUCUGCUAUGUGAAGACAAGGUCAUCUGCAGUUUUUUGUUGUUGUUGAUGAUCUUCCUGUCAUAGACAAUGCUGUAACAAACAGACUAAUUGUUCACUGUUGACAUAUAGAAGUACUACUGAUUGGCCAGACAUAGUGGCUCAUGCCUGGAAUCCCAGCACUUUGGGAGGCCAAGGCAGGUGGAUCACUUGAGCCCAGAAGUUUGAGACCAGCCUGGGCAACAUGAUGAAACCCCAUCUCUACAAAAUAAAUAGAAAAAUUAGCUGGGUAUGGUGGCAUGUGCCAGUAGUCCCAGCUACAUGGGAGCCUGAGGUGGGAGGACGACUUGAGCCCAGGAGGUGGAGGUUACAGUGAGCUGAGAUCAUGCCACUGCACUCCAGCCUGGGUGACAGAGUGGGACUCUGUCUAAAAAAAAAAUUGUAUUAUCUGUAAACGGAAA